GAGUUUGAUUAUGGCUCAGGAUGAACGCUGGCGGCGUGCUUAACACAUGCAAGUCGAACGGGCGAAUUAUAUCGGAGGUCUUCGGGCCGAAGAGAUAAUAAGCUAGUGGCGGACGGGUGCGUAACGUGUGGGUAAUCUGCCUUUGUCAUAGGAAUAACUGCUUGAAAAAGUAGCUAAUACCAAAUAACAUAUCGUAUAGGCAUCUAUAAGAUAUCAAAGAGAAAUCGGACAAAGAUGAGCCCGCAUCUGAUUAGCUAGUUGGUAGGGUAAAAGCCUACCAAGGCGACGAUCAGUAGCCGGCCUGAGAGGGUGAACGGCCACAUUGGAACUGAGACACGGUCCAAACUCCUACGGGAGGCAGCAGUGGGGAAUAUUGCACAAUGGGGGGAACCCUGAUGCAGCAACGCCGCGUGAGUGAAGAAGGCUUUCGAGUCGUAAAACUCUGUUGUAAGGGAAGAUAANG
RNAcentral lists this ribosomal RNA (463 nucleotides) under Filifactor villosus. RNAcentral's name for it is "bacterial SSU rRNA". It matches the Rfam family "Bacterial small subunit ribosomal RNA", at positions 9 to 453 of the family's 1533-position model. The record is from RNAcentral. Lineage: Bacteria; Bacillati; Bacillota; Clostridia; Peptostreptococcales; Filifactoraceae.